Molecule: ribosomal RNA, 253 nt
Filed under: uncultured bacterium
Lineage: Bacteria
Description: partial 16S ribosomal RNA
Rfam family: Bacterial small subunit ribosomal RNA
Source: RNAcentral
UACGUAGGGUGCAAGCGUUGUCCGGAAUUAUUGGGCGUAAAGAGCUCGUAGGCGGUCUGUUACGUCGGCUGUGAAAACCCGAGGCUCAACCUCGGGCCUGCAGUCGAUACGGGCAAACUAGAGUACUGCAGGGGAGACUGGAAUUCCUGGUGUAGCGGUGAAAUGCGCAGAUAUCAGGAGGAACACCUGUGGUGUAGACAGCUUACUGGACCACUUCUGACGCUGAGACACGAAAGCGUGGGUAGCAAACAGG